Molecule: ribosomal RNA, 822 nt
Filed under: Anopsicus sp. Car206
Lineage: Eukaryota; Metazoa; Arthropoda; Arachnida; Araneae; Pholcidae
Description: partial 28S ribosomal RNA
Rfam family: Eukaryotic large subunit ribosomal RNA
Source: RNAcentral
UGAGGGAAAGUUGCAAAAGAACUUUGAAGAGAGAGUUCAAGAGUACGUGAAACUGCUCAGAGGCAAACGGGUGGGCCCUCGAAAUCCUUUUGCGGAGGGAUUCAGUCGGGAGCGAGGGAGGCGGACGGGUGCCGGACCCCUGAAAGAGGCCGGGCCCCGAACCGUGGUCUCUCUCGUGCCCGACGCACUUCCCCCCGCACCGAGGACGCCGCGACCGAUCGGGUAGCUGCGAGAGUCGGCCUUGAGCCGGUUCCAGGAGGUGACCGGGCGGCUGGGCCUCGGCUCAGUCCCCGGUUUCUAACGGGACCGCGCGUGGCGCGACACCCGAUCGAGGUCGAGGUUCCCCUUACGGGGAACGCGCCGUCUCCUGCUUUCCAGCAGCGGAGCAUCGGGCCAGUGCGCACCGACGAGAGCGGAUCCACUCCCCGCAGUGGCCGCUCCGUCGGGACAGCCGUCGUUGGGUCCGAGCGACCGCGGAGGGAAUCGAAACGGUCGGCGGCGAGUAGGUCGGUCACCCACCCGACCCGUCUUGAAACACGGACCAAGGAGUCUAACAUGUGCGCGAGUCGCAGGGUCUUGUUCAGGCCCUCGGGCGCAAUGAAAGUGAAGGCUCUUCCUCUGGGAGAGCCGAGUUGGGACUCCCGACCCAGAGUCGGGAAGCACCAACGGCCCGUCCAGCUCGCCUCGGCGGCAGGGCGGAGUCGGAGCGCACACGUUGGGACCCGAAAGAUGGUGAACUAUGCCUGGGCAGAACGAAGCCAGAGGAAACUCUGGUGGAGGUUCGUAGCGGUUCUGACGUGCAAAUCGAUCGUCAGACCCGGG